UGGCUGUCCAGAGAAGCUGUUGCUUGGAAGUGUUCAAGAUGGGCUGGAUAGAUCUUGUAGGGGGUAGUGGAAGAUGUCCCUGCCCAUGGCAGGUACACAAUCAAGAUGGGCUUUAGGGUCCCUUCCAACCCAAACUGGGAUCCAUGAUUUUAGGAGACACAUUUUUUUGGAGAACGCCUCACUUGACCAUAACCUGGUGCUCUUGGUCUUUUCAUUGCCAACUCACAGAAGCUGAACUCCUAAAAAUGCUACAUUUUCUGCCUAGAAAAAUUUAUGUACAGUUACAGCAUGUGCUGAAAAUGAAGGACAACACGAGCAGAGAAGCAAACCAAAGCAGCUGGUGGAUCUGAGGUGGCACCCAAGGUCUCAGGCUGGAAUGUGCUGGCAGCCUGGCUGCUGUUGAACCUCCCAGUCUCAUUUUGCUUGGUCUGAAUCCUGGGAUGUUGGAGUUUUGCCUUUGCCAGUUGAGGAGCACCUCAGCCUUCUCUGCAUCACAGCUUUUGGCUCAUUCCCAGCUGGUGGCUGCUGUGAAUAUUCCACACUCCAUGGCUGGCAGGUGCAAAAUGUUUUACAUCCACUCUGCUUCCACUGCCUUAGUGGUAAAUGCAGUUUCUGGUCCCUAUGGAAGCAGAAGCAACUGUCUACACAGUGAAAACUGUCAUGAAUCAAGACUUUGGUAACAAAAAAUCUCCUCACUUCACCUCUCCUGGAGCACACUCAGACCAGAUAUAAGGUACCAAUAUAAAGCACCAACACAAAAAUCUCUGUGCCAAAAGAAACUCCCCACACAGAACCUCUUUUUGUGGGGCAAAAUCCUCACUGACCCCCCUGCCCAAAAGAGAACCAGGAAUUCUGUGCAGCCCCUGAUUUCUGGCUGCACAGAAUUCCCUCUGGGAAGCACGAACCAAACCUCUCCAGAACAGCCCGUCAGUGCAUGGCUCUGUAUCCAAUGCCUCUCCAGCCCUUUCAUUUCUGUAGCAUAAUGAACCUACAGAAGAUUCUGAGUUUUCCCUCUGGUUUAACAACCCUACCCCUGCCUGUUGCUGAUGUGCUCCAUCCCUGCAGUUAGCCAGAGAAAUAAUGAUAAUUUACACCCAGCUCGCACACUUUUUCGGCAUUUCUGCGAGCAAUCCAGAGGCGACAGGAACAAAUUGAUGGAGACAGGAAUGGGAGAAUCCCACCCUGUCAGAAGAUGAAUGAGCUGAGCUUGCAUGAUGUGAACCAUGGCUGACAGAAGCGAGGGGGAAUCAAAGAGUGAGCAACUUUUGACAACACACGCUUCACAGCUCUGACCACUGAGGAUCUACAUGAUUAUCUCCAGACAAAAUAACUGCUACAGCAAAGACACACGUUCCAAGCAGCCAGCCCAAGGUUAGCAAGCACUGAGUGAGCACAGCCCUUCAGAACCAGAGACCUUCACCUUGAUGCCUCCCAGGUCCUCAGGCUGAUACUUUGAUGGGAUAGAGACUCAAGUUCAAAUGGACAUUCUAGCCUUUCCUGUAGCUAAUAAUGGAAAACAAAGCCCUUUCCUCAGCUAUCUCAGCUCUUAACUCGACCCUGCCCUCAGUGUAGACACAAAUCAGCUCAGAGAACCUCUGUUCUUUUAUUUAUACAGAAUUUGAGAGGAAAAAAAUCUCAUCCAGAAACAAAUUAUGUUUUCCAAAUCACACAUGUGGCCUUCAACUCUAGGGAGUAACUCUUAUCACUCUUGGGGAAUCUUAAUCAGUUCUUCCUUUACCUCUGUCUGCUGGAACAAGACUUUUAGGAAAGGUAAAUUCCCAUUUCUCUUGAGAAGGGAGGCUAUAAACUCCAGCCAUCUUCUCCAGGAGAGGUUCAUAAGUUCCCAUCAGGUAAUCAAAAUAUCCCACAAAACAUAACAUAGGGUGUUUCAUGCAGAAAUUAGGGACUUAUAUACCUUUCCCAUAUCCCAAUUUCCCUUGGUGUCAUUAUUUCUUGUUAUAGAUAAAGUCACAUCACCAAUUUUGACCUUUUUAUAGUAUUUUUGUUUUACCAGUCUUAUGCAGAUUGGCACUUUUUCCUUUCAAACUUUUUCCUUUCCAUCGUGCAUGCCACUUUUCCCAAAAUUCCUUAUUCUCAGGGUAAAUUUGAGACUGGAACCUCUGACUCCUGUGCACUGUGAUUAUCUAUGGGAAAAGUAAAACUGAGCCAGCUCUAGGGAGAUCUUUUCCUUUGGAUCUCUGCAGGGACCCAAGGGUAUUGCUCCUUUGAUACUAUUUUUUUUUUUUAAGGAAUCCUCAAGCCUGUCUGUGUGCAGUGGAAAGUUUAUUGUGAUAUGACCAUGUGGUAAUAAUAUAUCAAAGUCCAGCAUUAAAAUAUUUCUAAAACAUGAAAAAUGGGCUGUUCAUAAUGUUAAAGAAGGACAAGCAAAUUUGCUGACAAUGUGGGUAAUUUCCUGAAAUCAGAGUUCAUCUUGUAGCAAGCCCAUGUUCUGUGGACAACAGAAACAAGCGGCGCAUAAAUCACUCACUCAACACGCACAAUCUCCUCUGUCCUGCUAAUCACACGGGUUUGGGAUCACAGCAAAGCACACUGUGACUCUUUCAAUACCCAUGGAAAACAAUGGAAAGGCUCCCGUUGACAUGGAUAUCAAAGGAUGACUAUUUCAUCUGGCUGUAACACCACCAAGGUCUUAGAACAAGACCUGCAGAGAGUUUUUUAUCCAAAAAAACCCCAAAAAUGAAGCUACUUUUAAUCUUUACAAUGAAUACACGCAUAUAAGAAAGUCACAAAGCAUAAAAGAUGGAUUUAUCCAUUUUCCACACCUGGAAAAUGGAUUGUGGAAAGUUUCUCCUAAUUUAAUCAAUAGUCUUAAAUGUAUGGUCAAAUAUUCUGAUUUUUUUAGACAUCUGUAUAUUAGUUUAACUGUUGGAGCAUAAACACUCCCAAUAACUUUGAGAACAUACAUAUUAAAACUACGACCACAUCUGCAUUCUAAUGCAGUAAUAUUUUAUAAAUCAUUGUGAGGGUAUUAUAUUUUGAAGGACAUUAAAACUCAUUGCACUCCUUGGGUUUUUACAAUUUCACGGUUUCUAAAGUAGCAACUUUAUUUUACUCUUUAUAAGAAAUUAAAAAAACAUCAUAUAAAUGUAGUUCCAUUUUCUAGUUUGGGACACAUCCUGCUCUGAAAUAUUUUACAACUUAAACACUUCUUUUCAGCAAGACAAGAAAAUUUUGGGGGCAUGUCCAUGUCUCACAAUCUGAUACUGCAUUACUAGAAGAGAAAGAUCCCUUUAGUACAGGGAAAGUAAGACUGGGUAGCAAAUAAAUUAGGUACAGACAUGAGAUAAUGGAAAGCACAGUAAUCAGAAGACAUGUUUUAUUAUUACAGGUGGAGAUAAUGUCAGGGAAAAAAGUGUGGGAGAAUGCCUUGGGCUUGUUUUAAGACCAACAUAAAAAUGCAAUACCUAUAUGUUUGCUUUAGCAUCUUUUUUUUAAAGUAAGGUUUAUUUUUGCCCUGUAUUUAUUUACUCUUCAGAUGUAAAAACACGCUCAUUGAAAUAUUUAAACGUGCCAAAUACUUGGGAUUUAACAUGACCGUGUCUGAAUGCGAGGUCAUUGUUUUGCUUACAGCAAAAAUUUCCUACAGUCACAUAAAAACUUCCCCUUCCAUAACUUUCAGUGGGGUCACUAAGAAAUUCUUCUGCUGACCUACAGCAGGUUUCUAGAUUUUUAUUAUCUUUUAGAAAAUAGGUAAAAAGUUCAGUAAGAACUUUGGUCCACUCUAAAGUCUUUCUUUAUAUGACCAUGAUUAUUGUCCUGACCCAUCAAAUAGCCUUGCAGAUAUUUUUUAGGUUCUACAUCUCAAAUUGCACGAGAAAAUUGUAUUUAUAAUCCUCUGCAAUUCCCCUAAUUUCAGAAAGAAGUAAGAAUGGAAAGAUACGCAAAUGCACAAAAUUUGUUUUGAGGAUUUCAUGAUCGUUUACCUGAUGUUAACCAAUAUUAAUAAAGAUCUAAAGUACAUACAACACAAAUAAGAGUAAUUAUAUAAAUUAGGCAGCUUUUCUCUUGAAUUUUUAAACUCAAACUUGGAAUAAGAGUAAUGCCCCAUAAAUACCACUGUUUUAAUCAGCAAAGUCUUGCUAAUGACCAUAUUAGGAACAAGACGUUUAAAUAUUGGUUAAAUUUUCACCUAUAUUCUGCAAGAAAUUGUCCAUUUUAUGACAGCAAAGUUAGAAAGCCCAUUAUUGCCAUGAGAAAAAUGUUUUUAAAGAGUUGAGAGAAAAAGGAAAAUGAAAUGUGAAUAUUAACCACACGCCCCAAUUUCUCCACCCACCAUCCAGUCAUUUAUAGGCAGUUCAUAGAAGGUCUACUGGAUUUGCUAUCACACAGUGACAGAACAAAAUAUUUCAGUACUUUGCAAACUUGAAAUUUUGUAAGUGAAAACUGUAAGGUCUUUGAAAUGUUGGUAUCCAAUACAACUUCUACAAAUUUAUCCUUCUAAUUAGCAUAUGCUCUUAAAAUAGUUUCUGAGAACAUCUUUCACCACAUUUCUUUUUAAAAAAUAUUAUUUUUUUUAAUAAUCACAAAAUCAUAUGAUACUUCUUUUUUAAUAACAUUUUAAAAGUGAACUCAAGGAGUGUAAAUGCUGUUGGAACAUUUUUUUAUUCAAUUGUUUAAAUGAAUACCUGUGUUACCUUUUUUUUGUUUGUUUUAGCAAAGGUGCCUGAAAAUACUGGAGCCAGAUCUGGUUCAGGUAAUCACAAGUGCUUUUGUUCAUUUCAAGUAAGAAUUAUACCAUAUGCCAUGCUUGAAAUUAGAAAUUAAUCAUCAUCCACCACGCAGACAGUUUUGAUAAAAUUCCCUUUUCCAACUAAAACAGUCAUACAGCGUUUGCAGCUUCACUGAAACUCCGUGUUCCUUCAGUACAAGAAAGAAAAAAGAACAGAAUAAAAGCUGAUUCCAUUCAAAAAGGAUUGCAACAAAACUUUUCCAUACUUGUACCAUCUACCAAGAUAGCACUUGGACAAAUGUUGGGAAAAAAUUACUUAAGAACCUUGUGCACUUGAGCUGCACCACAGUUUUACUCACAAUUCUUUAUCAACACCUAAUUUCUAAAAGCAUCUUUAUGCACAAGAAAAGAGUUCAGAUGUAAUGAAUUAAUCACCCACUGGGACUUUUUAAUAGAUAGGUUAUUCUACACAAGCUUAUCUAACCAGGCUAGAAACAAAAACUGUAUUUGUGUGCUCUAAAUCAUCACCUAACAUUUGGGGAC
Non-coding RNA from Taeniopygia guttata (zebra finch), 5233 nucleotides. NCBI's taxonomy places the organism in Eukaryota, Metazoa, Chordata, Aves, Passeriformes, Estrildidae. The record is from RefSeq and is a predicted model, not a curated record.